GGCGUAGGUACUUGUUGAAAAGCCAAUCUUCUGAUGACGAUAAUGAAAAAAACAUUUCACGUUUUAAAAAAAUCUUCGAUGCUGAGAAUGAAGUCCCUAAAGUAGAAAGAUCCAACAGUGGCUAUGAUGCAGUAGUAGAAUCAGCUCGUCCUGCCUUUACCUCAAAGUUCAACUCGGAACAUCAUGAAGUUGGAUACGAAGAACUGUCAGCAGGCGUGGACGUGUUGAGAAUGGAGUGUGUGCCAAAGAAUUACUUGAUCGAUGACAAUAAUAGAGUCGGAAAGAAGGAACUCUCUUGGCAUGGUCAAGUCACAUUGAAGGUCUAAAAUUCCGAUAUAUCUUUCUUUUAGGAGAGCGAUCUCCAUAACUUUAUCGAUAUCUUAUUCUUGAUUCCCUUUUCGUUUCCCUCCUUGUUGCCUCGGUGAAACACACUAACUUGGAGCAUGCAAUAUAUGAAGUUGUCUA
Molecule: unclassified non-coding RNA, 465 nt
Filed under: Hevea brasiliensis (rubber tree)
Lineage: Eukaryota; Viridiplantae; Streptophyta; Magnoliopsida; Malpighiales; Euphorbiaceae
Source: RNAcentral